This 427-nucleotide ribosomal RNA is filed under the name uncultured bacterium. Its description in RNAcentral is "bacterial SSU rRNA". It matches the Rfam family "Bacterial small subunit ribosomal RNA", at positions 355 to 774 of the family's 1533-position model. The record is from RNAcentral.
UGGGGAAUUUUGGACAAUGGACGCAAGUCUGAUCCAGCCAUGCCGCGUGCGGGAAGAAGGCCUUCGGGUUGUAAACCGCUUUUGUCAGGGAAGAAACGAGUUUCUCUAAUACAGAGACUUAAUGACGGUACCUGAAGAAUAAGCACCGGCUAACUACGUGCCAGCAGCCGCGGUAAUACGUAGGGUGCGGGCGUUAAUCGGAAUUACUGGGCGUAAAGCGUGCGCAGGCGGUUAUGUAAGACAGAUGUGAGAUCCCCGGGCUCAACCUGGGACCUGCAUUUGUGACUGUAUAGCUAGAGUACGGUAGAGGGGGAUGGAAUUCCGCGUGUAGCAGUGAAAUGCGUAGAUAUGCGGAGGAACACCGAUGGCGAAGGCAAUCCCCUGGACCUGUACUGACGCUCAUGCACGAAAGCGUGGGGAGCAAACA